AUUGAACGCUGGCGGCACGCCUUACACAUGCAAGUCGAACGGCAGCACGGGUGCUUGCACCUGGUGGCGAGUGGCGAACGGGUGAGUAAUACAUCGGAACAUGUCCUGUAGUGGGGGAUAGCCCGGCGAAAGCCGGAUUAAUACCGCAUACGAUCUACGGAUGAAAGCGGGGGACCUUCGGGCCUCGCGCUAUAGGGUUGGCCGAUGGUUGAUUAGCUAGUUGGUGGGGUAAAGGCCUACCAAGGCGACGAUCAGUAGCUGGUCUGAGAGGACGACCAGCCACACUGGGACUGAGACACGGCCCAGACUCCUACGGGAGGCAGCAGUGGGGAAUUUUGGACAAUGGGCGAAAGCCUGAUCCAGCAAUGCCGCGUGUGUGAAGAAGGCCUUCGGGUUGUAAAGCACUUUUGUCCGGAAAGAAAUCCUUGGCCCUAAUACGGUCGGGGGAUGACGGUACCGGAAGAAUAAGCACCGGCUAACUACGUG
This 486-nucleotide ribosomal RNA is filed under the name uncultured bacterium. RNAcentral's name for it is "partial 16S ribosomal RNA". It matches the Rfam family "Bacterial small subunit ribosomal RNA", at positions 30 to 507 of the family's 1533-position model. The record is from RNAcentral.